RNAcentral lists this ribosomal RNA (497 nucleotides) under uncultured bacterium. Its description in RNAcentral is "partial 16S ribosomal RNA". It matches the Rfam family "Bacterial small subunit ribosomal RNA", at positions 28 to 507 of the family's 1533-position model. The record is from RNAcentral.
GAUGAACGCUGGCGGCGUGCCUAAUACAUGCAAGUCGAGCGAACGGACGAGAAGCUUGCUUCUCUGAUGUUAGCGGCGGGCGGGUGAGUAACACGUGGAUAACCUACCUAUAAGACUGGGAUAACUUCGGGAAACCGGAGUUAAUACCGGAUAAUAUUUUGAAUCGCAUGGUUCAAAAGUGAAAGACGGUCUUGCUGUCACUUAUAGAUGGAUCCGCGCUGCAUUAGCUAGUUGGUAAGGUAACGGCUUACCAAGGCAACGAUGCAUAGCCGACCUGAGAGGGUGAUCGACCACACUGGAACUGAGACACGGUCCAGACGCCUACGGGAGGCAGCAGUAGGGAAUCUUCCGCGAUAAGCGAAGGCAUGACGGAGCAGCGCCGCGUGAGUGGUGAAGGUCUUCGGAUCGUAAAACUCUGUUAUUAGGGAAGAACAUAUGUGUAAGUAACUGUGCACAUCUUGACGGUACCUAAUCAGAAAGCCACGGCUAACUACGUG